AGAGUUUGAUCAUGGCUCAGAACGAACGCUGGCGGCAUGCCUAACACAUGCAAGUCGAACGAGACCUUCGGGUCUAGUGGCGCACGGGUGCGUAACGCGUGGGAACCUGCCUUUAGGUUCGGAAUAACUCAGAGAAAUUUGAGCUAAUACCGGAUAAUGUCUUCGGACCAAAGAUUUAUCGCCUUUAGAUGGGCCCGCGUUGGAUUAGCUAGUUGGUGGGGUAAAGGCCUACCAAGGCGACGAUCCAUAGCUGGUCUGAGAGGAUGAUCAGCCACACUGGGACUGAGACACGGCCCAGACUCCUACGGGAGGCAGCAGUGGGGAAUAUUGGACAAUGGGCGAAAGCCUGAUCCAGCAAUGCCGCGUGAGUGAUGAAGGCCUUAGGGUUGUAAAGCUCUUUACCCGAGAUGAUAAUGACAGUAUCGGGAGAAUAAGCUCCGGCUAACUCCGUG
Molecule: ribosomal RNA, 452 nt
Filed under: uncultured bacterium
Lineage: Bacteria
Description: bacterial SSU rRNA
Rfam family: Bacterial small subunit ribosomal RNA
Source: RNAcentral